CACGUAGGGUGCGAGCGUUAAUCGGAAUUACUGGGCGUAAAGCGUGCGUAGGCGGUUCGUUAAGUUCGUUGUGAAAGCCCCGGGCUCAACCUGGGAAUGGCAAUGGAAACUGGCGGGCUGGAGUAUGGCAGAGGGGGGUGGAAUUCCGCGUGUAGCAGUGAAAUGCGUAGAGAUGCGGAGGAACACCGAUGGCGAAGGCAGCCCCCUGGGCCAAUACUGACGCUCAGGCACGAAAGCGUGGGGAGCAAACAGG
RNAcentral lists this ribosomal RNA (253 nucleotides) under uncultured bacterium. RNAcentral's name for it is "partial 16S ribosomal RNA". It matches the Rfam family "Bacterial small subunit ribosomal RNA", at positions 524 to 776 of the family's 1533-position model. The record is from RNAcentral.